GUCCACGCCGUAAACGUUGGGAACUAGGUGUGGGCCUCAUUCCACGAGGUCUGUGCCGCAGCUAACGCAUUAAGUUCCCCGCCUGGGGAGUACGGCCGCAAGGCUAAAACUCAAAGGAAUUGACGGGGGCCCGCACAAGCGGCGGAGCAUGUGGAUUAAUUCGAUGCAACGCGAAGAACCUUACCAAGGCUUGACAUAUACCGGAAACACCCAGAGAUGGGUGCACCGCAAGGUCGGUAUACAGGUGGUGCAUGGUUGUCGU
Molecule: ribosomal RNA, 262 nt
Filed under: uncultured bacterium
Lineage: Bacteria
Description: partial 16S ribosomal RNA
Rfam family: Bacterial small subunit ribosomal RNA
Source: RNAcentral